UUGGGAAUCUUGCGCAAUGGGGGAAACCCUGACGCAGCGACGCCGCGUGCGGGAUGACGGCCUUCGGGUCGUAAACCGCUUUUCCCAGGGACGAUAAUGACGGUACCUGGGGAAUCAGCCCCGGCUAACUCCGUGCCAGCAGCCGCGGUAAGACGGAGGGGGCUAGCGUUGUCCGGAAUUACUGGGCGUAAAGCGCUCGUAGGCGGUCGCGUACGGCGGUGGUGAAAGCUCCCGGCUCAACUGGGAGAGGCCCGCCGCAACGGCGUGACUCGAGGGUGGUAGAGGCAAAUGGAAUUCCAGGUGUAGCGGUGAAAUGCGUAGAGAUCUGGAGGAACACCCGUGGCGAAGGCGGUUUGCUGGGCCAUGCCUGACGCUGAGGAGCGAAAGCUAGGGGAGCGAACGG
RNAcentral lists this ribosomal RNA (403 nucleotides) under uncultured bacterium. RNAcentral's name for it is "bacterial SSU rRNA". It matches the Rfam family "Bacterial small subunit ribosomal RNA", at positions 355 to 775 of the family's 1533-position model. The record is from RNAcentral.